AGAGUUUGAUCCUGGCUCAGGAUGAACGCUAGCUACAGGCUUAACACAUGCAAGUCGAGGGGAAACGAUGCGGAAGCUUGCUUCUGCAGGCGUCGACCGGCGCACGGGUGAGUAACGCGUAUCCAACCUGCCCCGAGGUAAGGAAUAAUCCGUAGAAAUGCGGUCUAAUACCUUAUGUGCUCCGAAGAGGACAUCUGAUUUGGAGUAAAGAUUUAUCGCCUUGGGAUGGGGAUGCGUCUGAUUAGAUUGUUGGCGGGGCAACGGCCCACCAAGUCAUCGAUCAGUAGGGGUUCUGAGAGGAAAGUCCCCCACAUUGGAACUGAGACACGGUCCAAACUCCUACGGGAGGCAGCAGUGAGGAAUAUUGGUCAAUGGGUGAGAACCUGAACCAGCCAAGUAGCGUGCAGGAUGACGGCCCUAUGGGUUGUAAACUGCUUUUGUACGGGGAUAAAGGAGCUUACGUGUAAGUUUUUGCAGGUACCGUACGAAUAAGGACCGGCUAAUUCCGUGCCAGCAGCCGCGGUAAUACGGAAGGUCCGGGCGUUAUCCGGAUUUAUUGGGUUAAAGGGAGCGCAGGCCGUCGGUUAAGCGUGUUGUGAAAUUCAGAUGCCCAACAUCUGACUUGCAGCGCGAACUGGCUGACUUGAGUACGCACGACGUUGGCGGAAUUUGCCGUGUAGCGGUGAAAUGCUUAGAUAUGGCGAAGAACUCCGAUUGCGAAGGCAGCUGACGGGAGCGCAACUGACGCUCAUGCUCGAAAGUGNNGUAUCGAACAGGAUUAGAUACCCUGGUAGUCCGNCACGGUAACGAUGGGAUGCCCNNCUAUUAGCCCAUUA
Molecule: ribosomal RNA, 836 nt
Filed under: uncultured bacterium
Lineage: Bacteria
Description: bacterial SSU rRNA
Rfam family: Bacterial small subunit ribosomal RNA
Source: RNAcentral